Molecule: transfer RNA, 65 nt
Filed under: Bannacoris arboreus
Lineage: Eukaryota; Metazoa; Arthropoda; Insecta; Hemiptera; Urostylididae
Description: tRNA-His
Source: RNAcentral
AUUUAAGUAGUUUAAUUAAAAUAAUAAUUUGUGGUGUUAUAGAUAUAUAAAGUAUAUUUUAAAUC